GAAAUAUCCUAUAUAAAACUUCUAAUUUUAUGAAAAACAAUUAAAUAUUGUUUAUAUUUCU
RNAcentral lists this transfer RNA (61 nucleotides) under Athalia tanaoserrula. RNAcentral describes it as "tRNA-Ser". The record is from RNAcentral. Lineage: Eukaryota; Metazoa; Arthropoda; Insecta; Hymenoptera; Athaliidae.